UACAGAGGUCUCAAGCGUUGUUCGGAUUCAUUGGGCGUAAAGGGUGCGUAGGUGGCGCGGAAAGUCGGGUGUGAAAUCUCCGGGCUUAACCCGGAAAGGUCAGCCGAUACUGCGGGGCUAGAGUGCAGAAGGGGCAACUGGAAUUCUCGGUGUAGCGGUGAAAUGCGUAGAUAUCGAGAGGAACACCUGCGGCGAAGGCGGGUUGCUGGGCUGACACUGACGCUGAGGCGCGAAAGCUAGGGGAGCGAACGGG
Molecule: ribosomal RNA, 253 nt
Filed under: uncultured bacterium
Lineage: Bacteria
Description: partial 16S ribosomal RNA
Rfam family: Bacterial small subunit ribosomal RNA
Source: RNAcentral